GACGAACGCUGGCGGCGUGCUUAACACAUGCAAGUCGAACGGAAAGGCCUCUUUCGGGGGGUACUCGAGUGGCGAACGGGUGAGUAACACGUGAGUAACCUGCCCUUGACUUUGGGAUAACUUCAGGAAACUGGGGCUAAUACCGGAUAGGAGCUCCUGCUGCAUGGUGGGGGUUGGAAAGUUUCGGCUGUUGGGGAUGGACUCGCGGCUUAUCAGCUUGUUGGUGGGGUAGUGGCUUACCAAGGCUUUGACGGGUAGCCGGCCUGAGAGGUUGACCGGCAACAAUGGGACUGAGAUACGGCCCAGACUCCUACGGGAGGCAGCAGUGGGGAAUAUUGCACAAUGGGUGGAAGCCUGAUGCAGCAACGCCGUGUGCGGGAUGACGGCCUUCGGGUUGUAAACCGCUUUCGCUCAUGACGAAGCUUUGUGUGACGGUAGUGGGUAAAGAAGCACCGGCUAACUACGUG
This 467-nucleotide ribosomal RNA is filed under the name uncultured bacterium. Its description in RNAcentral is "partial 16S ribosomal RNA". It matches the Rfam family "Bacterial small subunit ribosomal RNA", at positions 28 to 507 of the family's 1533-position model. The record is from RNAcentral.